GGAGAGAUGGCUGAGUGGUCUAAAGCAUCUGAUUGCUAAUCCAUUGUGCAAGUACUAAGGGUUCGAAUCCCUCUCUUUUCG
This 81-nucleotide transfer RNA is filed under the name Gossypium hirsutum (cotton). It matches the Rfam family "tRNA". Rfam says of the family: Transfer RNA (tRNA) molecules are approximately 80 nucleotides in length. RNAcentral also lists the same sequence under 1 other name. The record is from Rfam by way of RNAcentral. Lineage: Eukaryota; Viridiplantae; Streptophyta; Magnoliopsida; Malvales; Malvaceae.